UGUUUCUCAAUUAAUGGCUCAUAAGAAUCUAAUUUUGUUAAAUAGAUUUUUUUUUAAUUAUUUAUAACCAGUUGAUGCAGGAUAGAUUCACCUUUGCCAUAAUAUACAUAAACUAUUGUGGUGUGUACACCUGAUGUGGUUCCUUUUUAUAGAACUUCUGUCAAUCAAUCUGAUAGUUCAAGCAGUCAUGGGACUGAGACAAGUGUGUAAAUCAUUUUCCAAUCCUCUUCUCUCAAUCCACCUGGCAUUUCCCAACGUAAUUGAUGCACAAGAUUUGUAAGAGCAAACUCAAUUGUGGCAACUACAAACUGCAUUCCUCCACAAAUCUUUCAGCAAACUCAAGUAUGAACACUUUGUGCAAGCCCAAGAUUUGGAUUCCCUCACUAUCAUCACUUUUGCUUUGAUGAUUACUAUUGUUUUUGUGGGAAUCAGUGUCUUUGAUGGUUUCUCUUGAGGAAGUAGUAAUGGAGUUGGAGGAUGUUGUGUUAUCACUUUUUUCAUUAUUGACACAAGGCCUCACUUCCCUUCAAACUCUGUUUAUUGAAGUUUGUUCAAGGCUCCGACCGCUUCUUCCUCACAAGAAAAUGAGAAUCUAUGAAUGCUAUCUCAUGUUUAGCAAUAGGAUGAUAAGUUUUGAAGCGCAUGGUCACAAAUUCUUUCUUUCUAUCAGCAAUUAAUUUUCUUUUGUUCUAUUGCAUUCUACUUCAACAAGCCUAAUUCUAAGUUCAAGAAUGAGCCCCCAACAUGAAGGCAAAAUCAGAAUGAAAUUGAAAAGUAGUUGGUUCAAUUAGCAAAUUUGGUUCAUGGAGUUCUCUAUCUGUGAAUAUGUUCUUUAUUUUACUUCCACAAGAUGAAUCAAUCGCCCAAUGAAACCUUGUGAAAUCACAAUCGGAAAAGGCAAGGAAAGAUGCAUCUGUGCAAUCAAUGAACAGAAACUCGUAUUGUGCACACAUGAUCGUUCCCAAUGGUAGAACUUCCCUCAAGCAUUCCAAUCUUUUUAUCGUAUAAUCCUGUGGGUGGAAUCUUUUAGUACUUAUAAGUCAUUGAAACUGAGAGUAAAUUCGACUGUGACAACCGGAAACUGCAUUCCUCCACAAGUCCUCUGCCCAACACCAAAUGAAAUAAACUCAUGGUCAUGUCGUCGGAAAUCUAAAUCACUGUUCAUAAAUCUAUAUGGUGGGAAUCUUGUAGCCAUACAACUCAGUGCCUUUGAUGUUGUCAAGCACAUUUUAUUGGCAUCCUCUUUGGUCAACAAUGAACACUUGCCAUCCACACCGUACUCAUCUCGUCUUGUAACUUCUUCAUUACUUCUGGAUUCCAAAUGAGCACUGCUGGCCCACUCCAUGAAUAUUUGUUUGAGGGACCGACCAAAGCUCAUUUUUGCAGAAGAUGAUGUGCACCUGAUUCUCACAUCUCUUUGUGCAAGAAUUUAGAGUUCUAAUUCAAAGAUUGUUUGAAUGUACAAUCAAUUUUCAGCCUCAACUUUGUGUCUAAUUACGGCCAUGACUGAGCAGAUGCCCUGGGGAUGAUUUAAACUUGACAUGUUGAAGAACUAAAGGAUUUAUGAAAUACUUUUAACCUUUUUGUUUCUGUUUAUUGGAGAGAUCAAUCAAUCGCCACCUGUACCUGGUUUUCGUGCUUCCGCUUUUUUAUCAAGGAUUUGGAAUUGCCGGCAACUAUGAAUUAUCAGAAUCAAGCAGAAGUUCAUUCAUUGAUGAAAAGACAUUGUCACAUGUUGUGUUGUAUCAUAUUUUGCACUAGUUUUAGAAUGUUGAAAUUAAACUUGUUUUGAUUUC
Long non-coding RNA from Dioscorea cayenensis subsp. rotundata (Guinea yam), 1796 nucleotides. RefSeq lists it as uncharacterized. Lineage: Eukaryota; Viridiplantae; Streptophyta; Magnoliopsida; Dioscoreales; Dioscoreaceae. The record is from RefSeq and is a predicted model, not a curated record. The transcript is spliced from 6 exons.